UGGAUGGGUACUAGUAGAUAGGAUGCUGGAGAAAAUUCCCCACCGCAGCGAGUAGCACAGCCGCGUAUAAGCACCGCAAAAUUCGUCACCAAAACGAAGCGCGCAAACGAAAAAUUUCGAAUCGCAAUCCCCCACAACACAACCCCCUCAGUUGCCGUCGUCCUCCUCCGCCUCGAGCUCCCUCCUUCGGCGAUCGCGAUGGCGAACAUGCCAGUCUCGGAGAUGCAGCUGCCUCCCCACCUGGCCCACCUCCUCGCCGCGCGCCGCCUCACCACCGCCAAGGACGUGCUGUCGCUGCCGGAGGUGGAGCUCAUGGCCGUCCUCGACGCCGGCCUCCCCACCGCCCGCGCCGCCGUCGCCCACGUCAGCGAGGCCGCCUGCCCUCCCUGCCAGACGGCGCUUGAGCUUCUGGAGGAGCGCGUCAGGUUAGGAGGAGGCGGGCGGCUGGCCACCACGCUCUGCGGGUUGGAUGAGGCGUUGGGCGGAGGAAUCCCCGUAGGAAAGCUCACCGAGGUCGUUGGGCCGUCGGGGAUCGGCAAAACACAGUUCUGCCUGAAGCUUGCAACGUUAGCAGCAUUACCAGAAUGCUAUGGAGGUUUAAAUGGUCGAGUCGUGUAUAUGGACACGGAAUCCAAGUUCUCUUCACGGAGGAUGAUCGAGAUUGGUCAGAAUAGCUUUCCUCAAAUAUUUCGACAAGAAGCCUUGGCUCAGAAGAUGGCUGGGAGGAUUCUAGUGAUGAGGCCAGCAUCGUUAGCUGAUUUCACCAAGGGUUUGGAACAGAUGAAGGUGACUCUACUUCAGCAUGAUGUGAAGUUACUCAUUGUUGAUAGCAUGGCUGCUCUUAUGUCAUUGGAGAAUGAAAAAGCUACAGCAGGUUUCAGACACCACCCUCUAAGAUGGGCCCUUUCUUUUCUUAAGUCUAUAGCAGAGUUCUCAAGAAUUCCUGUUGUAGUUACAAACCAAGUACGCAGCCAAAGUAACGAUGAUGGUUACCACUUUUCCUUCGAAGUCGACAGGAAGGAUGGUAAUAAUUGCGCUGAAAGGUUUGAUUCUCAUCUUGUUGCUGCUCUAGGGAUCCAGUGGGCUCAUGCUGUAACUGUCCGUCUAGUCUUUGAGUCUCAUUCAGGUCACAGGUUCAUCAAGGUGGCAAAAUCACCUAUGUCUCCAGCAGUGGCAUUUCCAUUCAUUGUUGAAUCAUCAGGCAUUAAAUUACUAAGGGAAGAAGGCAUUGAUGUGACAGGUCCUGAGAUAACCUCAAUUCGUUGUCAAGGGCAAAAUGUUCUGGCUCAAUAACCAUUUGAAUGCUACUACAUCUAGUACUGAACAGGUUUCUAUCCUUCAUAACUUUCCUAUUCGAAUGAAACAAAUGAGUGUAUCUCGUCUGGGAAGAUGUGAGUAGCUGGUAUUCCUGCAGCUUUCAUCCGUCCUGAUAAGAUCUACUGUUGUCUUCACUCGUCAGUCCUAGACCUAGAAUCAAUGGAAGGUACAACAAAUUUACUCAUUAGCUUUGAGUUAUCUUGAUUGCAGAAAAUUUGACUGUGUUUUCAUAUGCUUGACUCUGCUGCUUGAUCCAUUUCUACCAGAUAAUGCAUAAAAUCUUAUGGACCCAUGAUUGGAGAUUUAAUAUUAUACACAGAAAAAGGAAUUUUUAGUGGAAAAAUUGGUCUGACUUGUGUUUGGUCUGGUGGUAGUGGACUUUCUAAGAACGGAUACCAAUCCUCCACAUCUUGUGAUACCAUUUUUUAUACCUCUAUAACCUUGUAUGGUGUGUGCGCCGCAUCAGGCCCGCUUUCUGUUUCCACCCACAGAAAAGAAUAGGAGGUACAGCCCACAGUUGCCACCUUGUGGGCUCCUUUCUCUUAAAAUCCGCAGCUGUCACCAAAUCAUAUGAAUAGUUCGAAUCCUUCUUAGCUUUUGUUAUUUCAAUCUAGGAGUUGACCUUCUCAUCUAUUUGCCCUUCCUGGCUGGAGUGGCAUCCUAAUUCCUAACUAAUCCUUCUGAAAGGAAAAUUGCUCGUCUGGGAAACUUUUGCCCACAUUGUGCCACUAAUACGCAUAGCAUAUUCUGGAGGUUAGUGUUUUUCUAAAGGAGUAGUGUUUGCUUUUGUGAGCUUAGAGAAACAGAACUAGGUUCUAGGGGAAAGGGAACCGAUUGAGGGGAAACAACUGAACUAUCUUGUUAGUAGACAGGAAGAAUCACUUUACUGGGUUUUGAUUGCUUGGCAAUUAAACUAAAAGUCCAAUGCUUCCUUUGGUGCGAUUUUGAUGGAAUGCUAUCAAGAUCACUUUUGCGAGGGAUCUGUCUUAAUUGGAUGAAAGGGGUAUAUGUGUCUAGAAGCACCAAAUUUAUGCAUGUGACUUAUUAUUCACAGGCCAUCUGCAGCACCAAGAGCAAUAAUAUGCACCUGCAAUGGCAAGGACCUAACAACUUAUUCCCUACAUGCUCUGUAAAAGCAGAAAAUAUUCACGAUAUAUAUGUGCUAGUGCGUUUCCACAUUUGGCACUUUGGUAUAUGAAUAAUAGCUCUGGUCACUGCUAUUUGAGGACAUAGACUUUAAUUGAGCAUCUAAAGAAAAUUAGAAUGCAUGAAGACUGGAUUACGUUUAGAAACAACUUUGCUCCCCUGGAAGCGGAUUCUUUUAUUGGUGCGUUGUCUAAUCGGAAACACUGGGUCUGGGUGCCGAGUUCAGCAUUUGACCAUGUCUUAUGUCUGAUGACGCAGUUUUAACUUUUAGUAACUGGCUGUGCUCCCCCAUUCACCACUUCGGUUAAUUGGUUUGGUGAUGAGUUAGCUAAUCAAGGUUACCUUUAAAUUGUACAGUUGUCUUGCUUUAUUUCUGGACCUAAAUAUAGUAUGAUGGUACAAAAAAAUAAAGGGAAAGUGUUACUAAGUUUCUCACCUAGGAGUCAAACAUGGGUAUCUAGUUGUUUGGCAGACUGGCAUUGGCUAUUAGUUGCAGGGUCCAAGGUUUUGUAAGGUCUGAGCCUAGCCAACAUGUGUCUGAGAGCGAAAUGUGACCCAAUUAGAUUGGGUUGUUGAAGAGGAGCUAGGACCAUCCAUAGGUAACUCCUUUUUCCACAAGUGUAGGUAUUGCAAGUACACUUGCAUCUCCCAGCUGCUUCCCUUACCUCAUCCAUGCGGCCCCGUUGAUAGCUCCGGGCAGAGUAUUUGCGCAACUGGAUUGGGGACACCCCCACCAUCUUAGAAAGCAGCCAGUCCGCAAGUUGCAACCCAGUAUCUUGAUUGCCUAAGCAAGUGCCUUUUUUGGACCAAAUAGUUGGGGCCAAGUUUAGGCUAUUCUCUUUAAGAUCCCAAGUGCGCACUUAAGCUAUACCUACUAUUUUCAACAAGUAUAUGGAUACUAAAGUACAGGCAAUAGCACCCUUUCUGAUAAUGUAUUGUUACAAGGUCGUUUCUCAAGUAUCUUACUCAAGUAUAUGGAUACUAAGGUCGUUUCUCAAGUGUCUUACUCUAUUGGGUUUAUUAAUUGAUUUUCUAGACAAAGCACCUAGAAUUAACUACUACCAAUUAUUUUAGUGGAUGGGCAUGAUGAAGUGACACGCAAACCAUAAUAUCCACAAACAAUCCAUUAAAUACACAUAAUUUUCUGAUUGGUUGAGCAGGUGGUGGCAUCAUUUAGUCAUCUGUUUUAUUUGGGUAGUAAAGCUACGGACAGUAUGUGAUUGAUUUGUUGCGUGGUGGCUAUUUCAUAAGUGUUUUUCCCCCUUCUAUUUGAUGGCGUCCUAUCUAAUCUGAUAGGUGGAUGAAAAGGGUAGGCAUCCUAGUGGUUGCCCUUUGUCUUUGCAUCCUAGUCUGUCGGCGCUACCAUAUCUGGUAACUAGUGUUUGCAUAUACUUCCGCUGGCGGCAAAAAACAAAUGUUCAUAGAAUAGAAAUCACACAACAGGCACACAUUGGAAGUUCCAGGUGGGCUUGUUUUUAUGUCCGAUUGCCACUUUGCAUAGACUUUUGUACUUUUCAAUCGGGAAAAUUUAAAUGAAACGAGCUAGGUUCUAAUUCUUUUUGAACUUUUUGAGGGAUUCCUCGAAUUUCAUUCAUGAUCAUGAGUGCUACUAUUUUUCAACUGAGUCAAAUGGUUCUUGCUCUUGUGCCGCGUGUGCCUCUUGAAUAGAAUGUCAAAGGAUAGGAGCCAGAUCUGAUGUGCCCCCUCUUUUCUGGUAGUCAUCAUUUCUGCUCCACUGUAGAGCUCGUGUCGAUCACCGUUGUCACUACCCCAACUAGAACUCUCCUGUACAGUUGCAUGUAAGUCUCGUGCAUUUACCUGUAAUAAAGGUUGUGCUUUUCAGUGAACUUUUUUUUAGUAUUUUCUUUCCUAAGAUCAUGCUAGCUAGACCGCCGCAACCAACGACUACGAGCUCAUAGCGGCUUGGAAAAAUUAUAGUUGCAUCUGGUACAAUAGCAGCAGCAGCAGUAGUCACCACUCACCACCACAGUUUCUGGACUUGCUAUUCUACCUAGGCUGUCGGCGGUCAGCAGUAGGUAAAAAGGCUAUACCAUGGUACCAAUAACAUGCAUAAUAGCA
Phragmites australis (common reed) is the source of this 4542-nucleotide RNA transcript. It is a transcript of the gene named DNA repair protein RAD51 homolog 2, with no coding region annotated. NCBI's taxonomy places the organism in Eukaryota, Viridiplantae, Streptophyta, Magnoliopsida, Poales, Poaceae. The record is from RefSeq and is a predicted model, not a curated record. The transcript is spliced from 14 exons.